UAAGAUAACUUUGUUUGAAUUUAUAUGAAGGACCACCUUCAAAAUCUAAAAUAUUCAAUAAUCGAUAGUGAACAAGUACUGUAAAGGAAAGAUGAAAAGUAACUGAAUCGUGCUGAAAUAGUUAUUGAAAUUGAACACUUAAAAUCAGUCAAAGUUUUUUACAAAAUAAAGAAUAAUGAUGUACCUUUUGUAUAAUGGGUCAGUGAGUUAAUUAAUUUAGCAAGCUUAAGUUAAAAAAUGUAGGCAUAGCGAAAGCGAGUUGUAAAAGGCGUUAGUUAAAUUAAUUAAACCCGAAACUAGGUGAUCUAACUAUGAACAGGUUGAAAAGGUAGUAAAAUACUUUGGAGGACCGAACCCGUGUCUGUUGCAAAAGAUUGGGAUGAUUUGUGGUUAGGGGUGAAAGGCCAAUCAAACCUAGAUAUAGCUGGUUUUCUGCGAAAUUUAUUUAAGUAAAGCAUUACGUUAAUUGCAUUAAGGGGUAGAGCACUGGUUGAAUGAUGGGAAUUGAAUAAAUUUUACUGAAUUCAGAUAAACUCCGAAUACUUAAUUGCAUGAUGUAGUAGACAGACAUAAGGUGAUAAGAUCUUGUGUCAAAAGGGAAACAGCCCAGAUUAUAAGCUAAGGUCUUUAAAUUUUAGUUUAGUGGAUAAGGAUUUAUUAUUACUAUUACAACCAGGAGGUGGGCUUAGAGGCAGCCAUCCUUUAAAGAAAGCGUAAAAGCUCACUGGUCUAAUAAUUGAAAAAUGUUUUAUGAAUCCAAAAAUGUAUAGAGACUUUAAAACUAAAUACCGAAGCUAUAAAUUAAAUUUUAAAAUAAUUUAAUGGUAGCAGAACGCUCUGUAUGCUUUUGAAGAUAAAUUGAAAAAUUUAUUGAAGGUAUCAGAAAUGAGAAUACUGACAUGAGUAACAAUAAACAGUGCAAAAAAUAGUUUGGAUAGAAACACUGUCGCCAAAAAUUCAAGAUUUUCUACGGUAGGUUUAACCUCGUAGAGUGAGCCGGUCCCUAAGACGAAGGUGAAAACUUUAGUCGAUGGGUUACAAGAUUAAUAUUUCUAGGCUAAGACGUUUAAGUGACUAAGAAUACGAGACUGCCGGGCAUGCUCUAAGAGUAAAAAGGAAAACGGCCCCGCGUAAAUCGCCUUGUCAAGAGGAGGCUCUCGUCUUCCGUAUCAUGUGGGGUCGCAGCCGUAAUUCUUACUAGAAAAAACUUGUCAAAUAUGCAGAUUAAAUCCCUGCAGUGCUAGACCGUAUUAAAUCCGACACAGGUGAAUUGGUAGAGAAUACUAAGGCGUAUGAGAUAACAAUGUUGAAGGAACUCGGCAAAAUGACUCUGUAACUUCGGGAAAAAGAGUACUUUAUUGGGUUUGGGGCGCGAAGAGCAAAUAACGAAAUAAAUUUGUGAAAUGUACUGACAGUCUUCGCCGCUCAAGAAGUGUAACAAAAUCGGGGGUAGCGACUGUUUAAUAAAAACACAAGACUCUGCUAAAUUGAAAGAUGAUGUAUAGGGUCUGACACCUGCCCGGUGCUGUAAGGUGAAUAAAGAAGAUUAGUUAAUGAUUAAUUUUUUUAAUAAGCCUCAGCAAACGGCGGCUGUAACCAUAACGGUCCUAAGGUAGCGAAAUUCCUUGUCGGGUAAG
This 1637-nucleotide ribosomal RNA is filed under the name wastewater metagenome. RNAcentral's name for it is "bacterial LSU rRNA". It matches the Rfam family "Bacterial large subunit ribosomal RNA", at positions 423 to 1980 of the family's 2925-position model. The record is from RNAcentral.